This 494-nucleotide ribosomal RNA is filed under the name uncultured bacterium. Its description in RNAcentral is "partial 16S ribosomal RNA". It matches the Rfam family "Bacterial small subunit ribosomal RNA", at positions 28 to 507 of the family's 1533-position model. The record is from RNAcentral.
GACGAACGCUGGCGGCGUGCUUAACACAUGCAAGUCGAACGGAAAGGCCUGCUUUCCCUUGUGGUUUGCGUGUACUCGAGUGGCGAACGGGUGAGUAACACGUGAGUGAUCUGCCCCCAACUUGGUUAUAAGCCUGGGAAACUGGGUCUAAUUCUCGAUAGGACUGCAGGGUGCUGCCUGUGGUGGAAAACGAUUUUCUAGUGGUUGGGGAUGAGCUCGCGGACUAUCAGCUUGUUGGUGGGGUAAUGGCCUACCAAGGCGGCGACGGGUAGCCGGCCUGAGAGGGUGGACGGGCGAACUGGGAAAGGGGAAAGGCCCAGACGCGAAGCGGAAGGAGGAGUGGGGAAUAAUGGAGAAAGGGCGGGAGGCUGAAGCAGCGAGGGCGCGUGGGGGAUGACGGGCUUCGGGUUGUAAACUACUUUGGACCGAGAGGAAGGCACCUGGUUGGAAGGGUGGUGACGGUAGUGGUAGAAGAAGCACCGGCUAACUACGUG